RNAcentral lists this ribosomal RNA (216 nucleotides) under Glomeromycotina sp. Its description in RNAcentral is "partial small subunit ribosomal RNA". The stretch from base 40 to 216 matches the Rfam family "Eukaryotic small subunit ribosomal RNA", at positions 686 to 864 of the family's 1831-position model. The record is from RNAcentral. Lineage: Eukaryota; Fungi; Glomeromycota.
CGGUCAGUAGGUUGGUCGUGCCACCGGUACGUACUGGUCUCACUGAUUCCUCCUUCCUGAAGAACCGUAAUGCCAUUAAUUUGGUGUUGCGGGGAAACAGGACUGUUACUUUGAAAAAAUUAGAGUGUUUAAAGCAAGCUAACGCUUGAAUACAUUAGCAUGGAAUAAUGAAAUAGGACGAUCGAUCCUAUUUUGUUGGUUUCUAGGAUUGACGUA